Molecule: ribosomal RNA, 497 nt
Filed under: uncultured bacterium
Lineage: Bacteria
Description: partial 16S ribosomal RNA
Rfam family: Bacterial small subunit ribosomal RNA
Source: RNAcentral
GAUGAACGCUGGCGGCGUGCCUAAUACAUGCAAGUCGAGCGAACGGACGAGAAGCUUGCUUUUCUGAUGUUAGCGGCGGACGGGUGAGUAACACGUGGAUACCCUACCUAUAAGACUGGGAUAACUUCGGGAAACCGGAGCUAAUCCCGGAUAAUAUUUUGUACCGCAUGGUUCAAAAGUGAAAGACGGUCUUGCUGUCGCUUAUAGAUGGAUCGGCGCUGCCUUAGCUAGUUGGUAAGGUAACGGCUUACCAAGGCAACGAUGCAUAGCCGACCUGAGAGGGUGGUCGGCCACACUGGAACGGAGACGCGGUCCAGACGCCUACGGGAGGCAGCAGUAGGGAAUCUUCCGCAAUGGGCGGAAGCCGGACGGAGCAACGCCGCGGGAGUGAUGAAGGCCUUCGGAUCGUAAAACUCUGUUAUUAGGGAAGAACAUAUGUGUAAGUAACUGUGCACAUCUGGACGGUACCUAAUCAGAAAGCCACGGCUAACUACGUG